Oncorhynchus keta (chum salmon) is the source of this 2164-nucleotide long non-coding RNA. RefSeq lists it as uncharacterized. The transcript has 4 exons. The record is from RefSeq and is a predicted model, not a curated record. Lineage: Eukaryota; Metazoa; Chordata; Actinopteri; Salmoniformes; Salmonidae.
ACUGGUAUAUUGAUAGACUGAUAGACUGGUAUAUUGAUAGACUGAUAGACUGGUAUAUUGAUAGCCUGAUAGACUGGUAUAUUGAUAGACUGAUAGACUGGUAUAUUGAUAGACUGAUAGACUGGUAUAUUGAUAGACUGAUAGACUGGUAUAUUGAUAGACUGGUAUAUUGAUAGACUGGUAGACUGGUAAACUGGUAGACUGAUAGACUGAUAGACUGAUAGACUGGUAGACUGGUAGACUGGUAGACUGGUAGACUGGUAGACUGGUAUAUUGAUAGACUGAUAGACUGGUAAACUGGUAGACUGGUAGACUGAUAGACUGGUAAACUGGUAGACUGGUAGACUGGUAGACUGAUAGACUGGUAGACUGGUAGACUGGUAGACUGGUAGACUGAUAGACUGAUAGACUGGUAGACUGGUAGACUGGUAGACUGGUAAACUGGUAGACUGGUAGACUGGUAGACUGGUAGACUGGUAUAUUGAUAGCUAGCAGGACUUAGGAGAAGGGUUGAUGUGAACUACUUUUCAACAGAAUCAAAUUAGUGGAAGGCUACAACAGAAAUUCAACAGAAAAAUCCUAAUUCGGCUGAAAAAUAAAAACAUCUCUUUCCGUCCUCAUUGAUUUCCUCAAAUUAAACGAGAGCCCAGUUGAAAUGACGUUGAGCCCGAUCCUGGAGAGAACCAUCAAAUCAGUCUAAUGGUCCUAAGAAUUCCUUCAUUAUAUUGGUGCGUAUUAAACUACUUUAAUUAGAAGACAAAACGGCAAUCGAAUUACUAAGAAAGUUCUUCCACGUCUAGACUAUAUUUAGUACAUUUCCAUUAAGUUUAUGGGCCAGGUUUCUACGUAUCGUACAAGGCAAAGGUACGGUUAACCACUCAGCAUAUUCAGGUUGAACGGAAAGAAGAACGCUGUCUAACCAACCUCCUGCUGACUCAUUGUAUUUAUGCUGACAAUGCCUGACACACACACACACACACACACACACACACACACACACACACACACACACACACACACACACACACACACACACACACACACACACACACACACACACACACACACACACACACACACACACACACAGUGUUCUCAUACAAGCACGCACACGCACACUCACAAUUCAUUUUUACAGCAACCUAUCAGAUCAACAAUCUCAGGCCUAGAUCUCAGAUAUGAGGCCUUUCUGAAACUCAAUCUCAGGCCUAGAUCUCAGGUAUGAGGCCUUUCUGAAACUCAAUCUCAGGCCAAGAUCUCAGAUAUGAGGCCUUUCUGAAAGUCAAUCUCAGGCCUAGAUCUCAGGUAUGAGGCCUUUCUGAAACUCAAUCUCAGGCCUAGAUCUCAGGUAUGAGGCCUUUCUGAAACUCAAUCUCAGGCCUAGAUCUCAGAUAUGAGGCCUUUCUGAAACUCAAUCUCAGGCCUAGAUCUCAGGUAUGAGGCCUUUCUGAAACUCAACAAUCUCAGGCAUAGAUCUCAGGUAUGAGGCCUCUCUGAAACUCAACAAUCUCAGGCCUAGAUCUCAGGUAUGAGGCCUUUCUGAAACUCAACAAUCUCAGGCCUAGAUCUCAGGUAUGAGGCCUCUCUGAAACUCAACAAUCUCAGGCCUAGAUCUCAGGUAUGAGGCCUUUCUGAAACUCAACAAUCUCAGGCCUAGAUCUCAGGUAUGAGGCCUUUCUGAAACUCAACAAUCUCAGGCCUAGAUCUCAGGUAUGAGGCCUUUCUGAAACUCAACAAUCUCAGGCCUAGAUCUCAGGUAUGAGGCCUCUCUGAAACUCAACAAUCUCAGGCCUAGAUCUCAGAUAUGAGGCCUCUCUGAAACUCAACAAUCUCAGGCCUAGAUCUCAGGUAUGAGGCCUUUCUGAAACUCAACAAUCUCAGGCCUAGAUCUCAGGUAUGAGGCCUUUCUGAAACUCAACAAUCUCAGGCCUAGAUCUCAGAUAUGAGGCCUCUCUGAAACUCAACAAUCUCAGGCCUAGAUCUCAGGUAUGAGGCCUCUCUGAAACUCAACAAUCUCAGGCCUAGAUCUCAGGUAUGAGGCCUUUCUGAAACUCAACAAUGGAAACUCUUUUUGCCCAUUGUAUUGUUUCUAAGGCGGAUACACAGGUGUUCUGUUCACUCAUGUAUCAUCACCCGGUUUGAUGUAAACGUGAGGAGGAGGGAA